AGUCAGCCUGUGUUUUGAUGCUUUGAAGCCAGGCAUUGACUUCUCUCUAGCUAUGAAAGUCCUAGAUGGCAU
RNAcentral lists this microRNA precursor (72 nucleotides) under Chlorocebus sabaeus (green monkey). Its description in RNAcentral is "miRNA (ENSCSAG00000022862.1)". Lineage: Eukaryota; Metazoa; Chordata; Mammalia; Primates; Cercopithecidae. The record is from RNAcentral.